UACAGAGGGUGCAAGCGUUGUUCGGAAUUAUUGGGCGUAAAGCGCGUGUAGGCGGCUUAGCAAGUCAGAUGUGAAAGCCCAUGGCUCAACCAUGGAAGUGCGUCUGAAACUGCCGAGCUUGAGUACCGGAGAGGAUGGCGGAAUUCCGCAAGUAGAGGUGAAAUUCGUAGAUAUGCGGAGGAACACCGGUGGCGAAGGCGGCCAUCUGGACGGUAACUGACGCUGAGACGCGAAAGCGUGGGGAGCAAACAGGAUUAGAUACCCUGGUAGUCCACGCUGUAAACGAUGAGAACUAGGUGUCGUGGGUGUUGACCCCCGCGGUGCCGUAGCUAACGCAUUAAGUUCUCCGCCUGGGAAGUACGGUCGCAAGAUUA
Molecule: ribosomal RNA, 374 nt
Filed under: uncultured prokaryote
Description: bacterial SSU rRNA
Rfam family: Bacterial small subunit ribosomal RNA
Source: RNAcentral